Molecule: small RNA, 78 nt
Filed under: Fragilariopsis kerguelensis
Lineage: Eukaryota; Bacillariophyta; Bacillariophyceae; Bacillariales; Bacillariaceae
Description: partial transfer-messenger RNA
Source: RNAcentral
CCACGAUUGCAGCUCAAGUCGAGGACAGCUCCAUUACCUAAAAAAACCGAAAUCAAGAAAAUUGCUAAUGAUAGUAUU